AACGCACAUUGCGCCCCUUGGUAUUCCAUGGGGCAUGCCUGUUCGAGCGUCAUUUGUACCUUCAAGCUCUGCUUGGUGUUGGGUGUUUGUCCCGCUUUUGCGUGGACUCGCCUCAAAGCAAUUGGCAGCCGGCGUACUAGCCUGGGAGCGCAGCACAUUUUGCGCAUCUCGACUGGAGCGCUUGCGUCCAUUAAGCCUACACUUUUGCUCUUGACCUCGGAUCAGGUAGGGAUACCCGCUGAACUUAA
This 248-nucleotide unclassified non-coding RNA is filed under the name uncultured Ochrocladosporium. RNAcentral's name for it is "partial contains 5.8S ribosomal RNA, internal transcribed spacer 2, and large subunit ribosomal RNA". Lineage: Eukaryota; Fungi; Ascomycota; Dothideomycetes; Pleosporales. The record is from RNAcentral.